AUGCCAUGGGAGCCAAGGACCAGAGGGGAAACCCUUCUCCCAUCUAGGGAGGAGGUCAAGGAAGAAGAAGAAGAAGAAGAAGAAGAAGAAGGGGGGCUCUCUCCCCCUUGCUUCCGAUGGCGCCGAAGCGCUGCCGGGGGCCAUCAUCAUCGCCGCGAUCUACACCAACACCUCCAUCAUCUUCACCAACAUCUCCAUCACCUUCCCCCAUCUAUAUUCAGCGGUCCACUCUCCCGCAACCUGAUGUACCCUCUACUUGAACAUGGUGCUGUAUGCUUCAUAUUAUUAUCCAAUGAUGUGUUGCCAUCCUAUGAUGUCUGA
Molecule: ribosomal RNA, 321 nt
Filed under: Triticum aestivum (bread wheat)
Lineage: Eukaryota; Viridiplantae; Streptophyta; Magnoliopsida; Poales; Poaceae
Description: partial small subunit ribosomal RNA
Source: RNAcentral